AGAGUUUGAUCCUGGCUCAGAACGAACGCUGGCGGCAGGCCUCAAACAUGCAAGUCUAGGGGGUGUAGCAAUACAUCACCGGCGGACGGGUGCGUAACGCGUGGGAAUAUACCUAUUGGUUCGGAACAACUGAGGGAACUUCAGCUAAUACCGGAUACGUCCUUACGGAGAAAGAUUUAUCGCCAAUAGAUUAGCCCGCG
This 200-nucleotide ribosomal RNA is filed under the name uncultured bacterium. RNAcentral's name for it is "partial 16S ribosomal RNA". It matches the Rfam family "Bacterial small subunit ribosomal RNA", at positions 8 to 235 of the family's 1533-position model. The record is from RNAcentral.